Molecule: long non-coding RNA, 2043 nt
Organism: Ictalurus punctatus (channel catfish)
Lineage: Eukaryota; Metazoa; Chordata; Actinopteri; Siluriformes; Ictaluridae
Exons: 3
Source: RefSeq, a predicted model, not a curated record
GAGAGAGGAGAGAGAAGAGGUGUGUGUGGUAGAAGUGUGGAUUCGCUAACUACGGUUUUUCUUUCAAGUACCAUCACUGCGAAUUAAGUGGUCGAGCACUAUAUGUGACUUUAGUGGUGGAAUAAGCUAUCUGUGGAAAGUAUAACCUCGGAGAGACGUUGUAUUACUGCGGAAAGAAAACAGUUAAAAACUGAAUACUAGUGGACACAUGGACUUUGAUAAUAAGUUAGCGAACAGCCGACUCUAGGUGCAGAGACUGUGUUUGUCACCGAGAAAGGAGCUGUGGACUUCGCAGAUGACUACCGGUGUGUGAAUCUCCUUCUCUUCUUAUCUUGCAACGACCCUGCGUGAGUGUGACCCCAUUCUUGAUCAAGGUGACCUAUCAUGAUGAGGCGACCUAUCAACCUCCUAUCAUGAUGAGGUUGGAGAAUACAUGCCAAGGGAUCUGAGACCAUUCCUCCAUGCGGAAUCUCUCCAGAUACUUCAAAUUUCAAUAGUCAACACUGGUGGAAUCUCUUCUUCAGUUCACUUCACAGGUUUUCUAUGGGUUUCAAGUCAGGGAACUGGGAUGGCCAUGACAGGACCUUCAUUUUGUGGGUGGUACCGGAUGUGCAGACCUACAAAUCAGAGUACUCCGCCAAAUAUCUUUGUAUCAGCACCUUGGAAGUAUGCUGUGUGUCCUAUCCACUUUGUGUGGAGAAGGAGCUUCAUGUUUACGACCGGACAUGUUGAGAGGGUGCAUGCUGGGAAAGAAAAGAAAAAGGGGAAGCGGAACUAAGGGAUUCACAGUGACCCACACUGAGUGAACAGCCCACCACACUGAUACUAGAGCCAAUUUAGCUGAUUUACAGUACUGUGCAGAGGCAUAUGUUUUAAAGCCAGAGGCAUAUGCAGUACUGUGCAGAAGCAAAUACUGUAAAGCAUUUAAUGUACAAUGUGCUGGUAACACUUUUCAAUAACAGUACAUGAAUAAUUGUGCACUAAUAGCUGAAAAUACUUAAAUAUGACCUAACAAUGAGUUAAGACAUAUUAAGAAUUUAUGAAAGAAACAGGUUAAAACAAAACUAACCUCACAUUAAUAAAUGAUUCAUGUUCAAUUUUGAAAUAUUUGAUAAUUUCCUUUUAGUCAGAUAAGUGUUAUCAAUCCAAUCAUUUUCUGUACAAGUUAUUCUACACAGGGUCAUGGGAAGCCUGGACCCAAUCCCAGGAGACUUGGAGCAUAAGGCAGGGGCCAUCCUGUACUGGGUGCCAACCCAUUGCAGGGCACAAUCGCACACAUACACACAUCAUGGACAAUUCAGAAAUGCCAAUCAGCCUACAACACAUCAUUAGGCUGGGGGAAGAAACCGGAGUACCCAAAGGAAAACUCAGAAGCACGGAGAGAACACGCAAACUCUGUGCAUGGUGGAGGUGGUAUUCAAACACCCAACCCUGGAGUUGUGAGGCAAACUUGCUAACCACUAAGCCACCAUGCCCCAAAUAAGUGUUAUGAAAUCAGUAAAAAUUUUCAUGCGCCAAAGGUGACAAAUCUUCGUUUAAAUAACUGCAAGAUACUAGCAUUUUCUUUGACAAAAAGCAUUAUCAUAUAUUAUAAUGGAAAACAAAACAGAAUUGCACUAUUCUGAACAAUUUGACUGUUUUUGAUGGCUGUGUUAAUUGUUUAAAGCACAUUGAAUUUCGGAGAAAUAUGUGACAUCAUUUGAAAAAAAAAAAAAAAAGCUAGCAAAAUUCGAGCCAGACAGCCAGCCAGCAUUGAUGAGAAAGAAUAAAUGAGAAUGGCUUUUGCAGACAAAUCUGUUCACAUUCUAAGAAUAGAUGGGAGAUGGUUGGUCUACAGAAAUUAAACGAUGUCUCCACUGAGACCAGACCAGUGUUGUUAUGACAACCUUUAGUGUCUCAGAAGCAACGACCAAAGAUUUCAGAGAGUAAAGGAAUGAAAUAUACAAAGGAAAAAUGGCAAAACAAUGUAUAAUGAUGUGUCUAUGAAUUCAGUUAUUACAGUGCUCUCCACUAAUAUUGGCACCCUUGGUAAAUAUGAGCAAA